GAUGAACGCUGGCGGCGUGCUUAAUACAUGCAAGUCGAACGGACAGACGCGGAGCUUGCUCCUCUGUCGUUAGCGGAGGACGGGUGAGAAACAUGUGGAUAGCCUACCUAUAAGACUGGGAUAAUUUCGGAAAAGCGGCUCUUAUACCGGAGGAUAUCUUGAACCGCAUGGUUGAAUAGUGAAAUACGGCGUUGGUGGCACUAAUAGAUGGAUCCGAGCCGCAUUAGGUAGUUGGUAAGUUAAAGGCUUAUCAAGGCAACUAUGGGUAGCCGACCUGAGAGGGUGGUCGCCCACACUGGAGGGUGGACGCGGACCAGACUCCUGCGAUAGGCCGCAGUCGGCAAUCUUCCGCAAUGGUCGAAAGCCUUACGGAGCAACGCCGCGUGAGUGAUGAAGGUCUUCGGAUCGUAAAACUCUGUUAUUAGGGAAGAACAAAUGUGUACGGAACUAUGCACGGCUUGACGGUACCUAGUCAGAAAGCCCCGGCUAACUACGUG
This 497-nucleotide ribosomal RNA is filed under the name uncultured bacterium. Its description in RNAcentral is "partial 16S ribosomal RNA". It matches the Rfam family "Bacterial small subunit ribosomal RNA", at positions 28 to 507 of the family's 1533-position model. The record is from RNAcentral.